Molecule: long non-coding RNA, 420 nt
Organism: Cloeon dipterum
Lineage: Eukaryota; Metazoa; Arthropoda; Insecta; Ephemeroptera; Baetidae
Exons: 3
Source: RefSeq, a predicted model, not a curated record
UUACCACUCCAGGGCCAACUACUUCAACAACAACUAGCACAACAACAACCACAGCGACGAGAAACGAGGCUGCACUGAAGUGCAAGGCAAUGAACAUGGUGCUCUUGGCCGUGACCUCCUUCGAGGAAAUGGACUGCCUAUCCACCUUUAGAGGCACAAUGUUCUGGACGAGCGGCUCAAAUGAAGACUUCAAAUGCGAUUUGGAGAAAAAAUACGCGUGGUGUUCGACGGGAUUCAACAUCUCAACAACUCUAAUCGCGUCGGAGAAAUUUUGGCUGGCAACCACCGCUGCUCCGUCCACUCUAGACCGAUGCCUGGCGUUCGUUAACUCGAAUAACACCUCGCAAAGGGGGAUGGUGCACAGAAAGUGCGACGAAACCCUGCCCUUCAUCUGCCAACUUCCUAUUGAGUGUCCGAAAU